AGCGAACGCUGGCGGCAUGCUUAACACAUGCAAGUCGCACGGAUCUUUCGGGAUCAGUGGCGGACGGGUGAGUAACGCGUAGGGAUCUAUCCAUGGGUGGGGGACAACUCCGGGAAACUGGAGCUAAUACCGCAUGAUACCUGAGGGUCAAAGGCGCAAGUCGCCUGUGGAGGAACCUGCGUUCGAUUAGCUAGUUGGUGGGGUAAAGGCCUACCAAGGCGAUGAUCGAUAGCUGGUUUGAGAGGAUGAUCAGCCACACUGGGACUGAGACACGGCCCAG
This 280-nucleotide ribosomal RNA is filed under the name uncultured bacterium. Its description in RNAcentral is "partial 16S ribosomal RNA". It matches the Rfam family "Bacterial small subunit ribosomal RNA", at positions 29 to 334 of the family's 1533-position model. The record is from RNAcentral.